UGAUUGACUGUUUGUUAUUGUUUUCGUCGAAGGGGUAGAUGCCGCGUGGAUCUUUUGAAGUAACUUAGUAAAAUUCUUUGUGGUAUUGUGAUUUCUAAGAGACGAAAAGCGGAAGGCAAAAUUGUUGGAGAGAAAACUGGAAACGUACGUCACUGAAGUCUAUAGCGACGAAAGUCGCUAAAAUCAGGAAGAGAAAUGCAGCAAAACUGGAGAUAGGCCUACCGUGGGAAAUUAGCAUUUGCAAAAUAAGAUGCAGAAAUAGCAGAAACACAUCACAAAUCCAGUACCACACCAGAACUACAGGAUUGUACAACCAAAUGUUCUCUGCCACCACCCUAUAUUUUUUGGGGUGGUUAAUUAGGAUAGGCCAUGGCAUAUACCGAAUAUCAUUAUUUUAUAUUUUACCAUCUAUUCCAGAUUAAUGUGUCUGUUUAUAUAUUAAUGUUAUAGCACUGUCAAUAGUAGUAUCACAGACGCAUUUUAAGAAAAUGAAACAGUUUACAUUCCACUGUGAAAACCCACUACAAUAUAAUGUUUAUUGAAGUGGAUGACACUUGUAUCUUUUGUGUUGGAGUUACUGUUGCAAUGAAUGUGAUUUUUGUUUAGUAUGACAUGUUACAAACAACUGCAGUAAAAUAAAUUUGUUUAUUGCAAAAGGA
Long non-coding RNA from Schistocerca nitens (vagrant locust), 659 nucleotides. RefSeq lists it as uncharacterized. NCBI's taxonomy places the organism in Eukaryota, Metazoa, Arthropoda, Insecta, Orthoptera, Acrididae. The record is from RefSeq and is a predicted model, not a curated record. The transcript has 3 exons.